Long non-coding RNA from Amphiprion ocellaris (clown anemonefish), 139 nucleotides. RefSeq lists it as uncharacterized. The transcript has 3 exons. The record is from RefSeq and is a predicted model, not a curated record. NCBI's taxonomy places the organism in Eukaryota, Metazoa, Chordata, Actinopteri, Pomacentridae.
CUUCGCUCUGCUCCAGAAGGUGAGAGCUGAAAUCACGAGUAAGGAGAAAGAAGAAGAAGACAUGAUGGAGAAAGUUCAGAAGGAGGCCAAGAAGGACGUAGAGCCGGAGGAGAAGAUAGAGUUUAAGAGUCGUCUUGGU